GAUGACCGUACCGCAAACCGACACAGGUGGGCGAGAUGAGUAUUCUAAGGCGCUUGAGAGAACUCGGGAGAAGGAACUCGGCAAAUUGGUACCGUAACUUCGGGAUAAGGUACGCCCUUGUAGCUUGACUGGCCUGCGCCAGGAGGGUGAAGGGGUUGCAAUAAACUGGUGGCUGCGACUGUUUAAUAAAAACACAGCACUCUGCAAACACGAAAGUGGACGUAUAGGGUGUGACGCCUGCCCGGUGCCGGAAGAUUAAAUGAUGGGGUGCAAGCUCUUGAUUGAAGUCCCGGUAAACGGCGGCCGUAACUAUAACGGUCCUAAGGUAGCGAAAUUCCUUGUCGGGUAAGUUCCGACCUGCACGAAUGGCGUAACGAUGGCCACACUGUCUCCUCCCGAGACUCAGCGAAGUUGAAGUGUUUGUGAUGAUGCAAUCUACCCGCGGCUAGACGGAAAGACCCCAUGAACCUUUACUGUAGCUUUGCAUUGGACUUUGAACCGAUCUGUGUAGGAUAGGUGGGAGGCUAUGAAACCGGAACGCUAGUUUCGGUGGAGCCGUCCUUGAAAUACCACCCUGGUUUGUUUGAGGUUCUAACCUUGGCCCGUGAUCCGGGUCGGGGACAGUGCAUGGUAGGCAGUUUGACUGGGGCGGUCUCCUCCCAAAGCGUAACGGAGGAGUACGAAGGUACGCUAGGUACGGUCGGAAAUCGUGCUGAUAGUGCAAUGGCAUAAGCGUGCUUAACUGCGAGACCGACAAGUCGAGCAGGUGCGAAAGCAGGUCAUAGUGAUCCGGUGGUUCUGUAUGGAAGGGCCAUCGCUCAACGGAUAAAAGGUACUCUGGGGAUAACAGGCUGAUACCGCCCAAGAGUUCAUAUCGACGGCGGUGUUUGGCACCUCGAUGUCGGCUCAUCUCAUCCUGGGGCUGUAGCCGGUCCCAAGGGUAUGGCUGUUCGCCAUUUAAAGAGGUACGUGAGCUGGGUUUAAAACGUCGUGAGACAGUUUGGUCCCUAUCUGCCGUGGGCGUUGGAUAUUUGAAGGGGGCUGCUCCUAGUACGAGAGGACCGGAGUGGACGAACCUCUGGUGUACCGGUUGUCACGCCAGUGGCAUCGCCGGGUAGCUAUGUUCGGAAGAGAUAACCGCUGAAAGCAUCUAAGCGGGAAACUCGCCUUAAGAUGAGAUAUCCCUGGGGACUAGAUCCCCUUGAAGGGUCGUUCGAGACCAGGACGUUGAUAGGUCAGGUGUGUAAGCGCAGUAAUGCGUUCAGCUAACUGAUACUAAUUGCCCGUAAGGCUUGAUCCU
RNAcentral lists this ribosomal RNA (1300 nucleotides) under Burkholderia cepacia. RNAcentral describes it as "partial 23S ribosomal RNA". It matches the Rfam family "Bacterial large subunit ribosomal RNA", at positions 1637 to 2925 of the family's 2925-position model. The record is from RNAcentral. RNAcentral also lists the same sequence under 2 other names. Lineage: Bacteria; Pseudomonadati; Pseudomonadota; Betaproteobacteria; Burkholderiales; Burkholderiaceae.